UACGUAGGUUGCAAGCGUUGUCCGGAUUUAUUGGGUUUAAAGGGUGCGUAGGUGGCUGAUUAAGUCAUGGGUGAAAGCCCGCAGCUCAACUGUGGAAUUGCCUGUGAUACUGAUUAGCUUGAGUGCGGUUGAGGCAGCUGGAAUUGAUGGUGUAGCGGUGAAAUGCAUAGAUACCACCAGGAACACCGAUUGCGAAGGCAGGUUGCUAAGCCGUAACUGACACUGGGGCACGAAAGCGUGGGGAGCAAACAGG
RNAcentral lists this ribosomal RNA (253 nucleotides) under uncultured bacterium. RNAcentral describes it as "partial 16S ribosomal RNA". It matches the Rfam family "Bacterial small subunit ribosomal RNA", at positions 524 to 776 of the family's 1533-position model. The record is from RNAcentral.